This 434-nucleotide ribosomal RNA is filed under the name Navicula sp. Navi_LGBT_01. RNAcentral describes it as "bacterial SSU rRNA". It matches the Rfam family "Eukaryotic small subunit ribosomal RNA", at positions 159 to 605 of the family's 1831-position model. Lineage: Eukaryota; Bacillariophyta; Bacillariophyceae; Naviculales; Naviculaceae. The record is from RNAcentral.
AACAAGUAAUACACAAUCUUGGGGCAAAAUAAACAUUAGAUUAAAAAGCAACCUUUUAAGGGGUGAUGUGGUGAUAAAAAAAAAUAGGAGGCGGAGGGCAUGGCUUUGCAGGCGAUGGAUCCUUCUUGUUUCGGCCCUAUCAACUUUUGAUGUUAGGGUAUUGGCCUCCCAUGGCUUGAACGGGUAACGGGAAAUUACUUCUUUGAUUCCGGAGAGGGAGCCUGACAUACGGCUACCACAUCCAAGGAAGGCAUCAGGCACGUAAAUUACCCAAUCCUGACACAAGGAGAUAGUGACAUUAAAUAACAAUGCCGGGCCUUCGUAAGUCUGGUAAUUGGAAUGAAAACAAUUUAAACCCCUUAUCUACUAUCAAUUGGAUGGCACUCUGGUGCCAUUGCCUCCGUAUUUCCCCUCCAAUAGCGUAUAUUAAACAA